UGGGGAAUUUUCCGCAAUGGGGGGAACCCUGACGGAGCAACGCCGCGUGCGGGAGGAAGGCCUGUGGGUUGUAAACCGCUUUUCUCUGGGAAGAAGUUUUGACGGUACCAGAGGAAUCAGCAUCGGCUAACUCCGUGCCAGCAGCCGCGGUAAGACGGAGGAUGCAAGCGUUAUCCGGAAUUAUUGGGCGUAAAGCGUCCGUAGGCGGUGAUUUAAGUCAGUUGUUAAAGACUGCAGCUCAACUGUGGGAGAGCAACUGAAACUGAGUGACUAGAGUGCGGUAGGGGUAGAGGGAAUUCCCAGUGUAGCGGUGAAAUGCGUAGAUAUUGGGAAGAACACCAGUGGCGAAGGCGCUCUACUGGGCCGCAACUGACGCUGAGGGACGAAAGCUAGGGGAGUGAAAGGGAUUAGAUACCCCCGUAGUCC
RNAcentral lists this ribosomal RNA (426 nucleotides) under uncultured prokaryote. RNAcentral's name for it is "bacterial SSU rRNA". It matches the Rfam family "Bacterial small subunit ribosomal RNA", at positions 355 to 796 of the family's 1533-position model. The record is from RNAcentral.